CCUACGUGCUGCAGCAGUGGGGAAUAUUGGACAAUGGGCGAAAGCCUGAUCCAGCCAUGCCGCGUGUGUGAAGAAGGCCUUCGGGUUGUAAAGCACUUUCAGUGGGGAAGAAAGCCUUGGGGCUAAUACCCUCGAGGAAGGACAUCACCCACAGAAGAAGCACCGGCUAACUCCGUGCCAGCAGCCGCGGUAAUACGGAGGGUGCGAGCGUUAAUCGGAAUUACUGGGCGUAAAGCGCGCGUAGGCGGUCUGAUAAGCCGGUUGUGAAAGCCCCGGGCUCAACCUGGGAACGGCAUCCGGAACUGUCAGGCUAGAGUGCAGGAGAGGAAGGUAGAAUUCCCGGUGUAGCGGUGAAAUGCGUAGAGAUCGGGAGGAAUACCAGUGGCGAAGGCGGCCUUCUGGACUGACACUGACGCUGAGGUGCGAAAGCGUGGGUAGCAAACAGGAUUAGAUACCCGAGUAGUC
Molecule: ribosomal RNA, 465 nt
Filed under: Vreelandella stevensii
Lineage: Bacteria; Pseudomonadati; Pseudomonadota; Gammaproteobacteria; Oceanospirillales; Halomonadaceae
Description: partial 16S ribosomal RNA
Rfam family: Bacterial small subunit ribosomal RNA
Source: RNAcentral